GGGUGGUUAGCUCAGCUGGGAGAGCAUCGCCCUUACAAGGCGAGGGUCACAGGUUCGAACCCUGUACCACCCACCA
Molecule: transfer RNA, 76 nt
Filed under: Pseudomonadales bacterium
Lineage: Bacteria; Pseudomonadati; Pseudomonadota; Gammaproteobacteria; Pseudomonadales
Also listed under: 10 other names
Description: tRNA-Val
Rfam family: tRNA
About the family: Transfer RNA (tRNA) molecules are approximately 80 nucleotides in length. Their secondary structure includes four short double-helical elements and three loops (D, anti-codon, and T loops).
Source: RNAcentral